RNAcentral lists this ribosomal RNA (490 nucleotides) under uncultured bacterium. Its description in RNAcentral is "partial 16S ribosomal RNA". It matches the Rfam family "Bacterial small subunit ribosomal RNA", at positions 30 to 507 of the family's 1533-position model. The record is from RNAcentral.
AUUGAACGCUGGCGGCAGGCUUAACACAUGCAAGUCGAACGGUAACAGGAAGCAGCUUGCUGCUUCGCUGACGAGUGGCGGACGGGUGAGUAAUGUCUGGGAAGCUGCCUGAUGGAGGGGGAUAACUACUGGAAACGGUAGCUAAUACCGCAUAAUGUCGCAAGACCAAAGAGGGGGACCUUCGGGCCUCUUGCCAUCGGAUGUGCCCAGAUGGGAUUAGCUUGUUGGUGGGGUAACGGCUCACCAAGGCGACGAUCCCUAGCUGGUCUGAGAGGAUGACCAGCCACACUGGAACUGAGACACGGUCCAGACUCCUACGGGAGGCAGCAGUGGGGAAUAUUGCACAAUGGGCGCAAGCCUGAUGCAGCCAUGCCGCGUGUAUGAAGAAGGCCUUCGGGUUGUAAAGUACUUUCAGCGGGGAGGAAGGGAGUAAAGUUAAUACCUUGGCUCAUUGACGUUACCCGCAGAAGAAGCACCGGCUAACUCCGUG